ACCGGGAAAGGGAAUAACACUCGAAAUGUAUAUAAGAAAUACUCAAGUUAAUAAAAAAAAUAAAUAAAUAAAUAAAAAAAAAUUAAAAAAAAAGAGUAGAAAUAACAACUAAUGUUGACAUAAAUGUAGGAAAAGGUCAUACAUUGCAAUGAGAUGAAGAAGUAGAGAACCAAUUUUUAAAAUCAGUCUAGAUGUCCUCAUUCAAAUAAAUGAAUAAAUGAAAGAAAAAAAAACGCAGAUAGUUUCUGUAGUUGUAAAUGGAUGCAGCAAAAGAAAAGUAAUAGCAAUGUCUGUAAAUUUGGGGCCUCCAAAAAAUGUGAAAAAUGAAUGAUUGAAGAUACUUUUCUCUCUCAAGGCACCUAUUUUAACUAUUUAAAUAUACUUAUUCCAUUUGCCCUAAGUGAUUUCAUUCUGUUAUUAAUUAAAUGGGUAUGAUAUAGAAAUUGUCAUAAAAAGCAAAAUGAAACACAAUAAUACUUAUUAUUUUUUAUGUGGAUGUAUAGAGUGCUUUCAAAUAAACCUCUAAUACCUCCCCUCCGACUUCUGACAUAUUCUAAUAUUAACUUUCUCUCCAACGUAUGUACUCUGUUUACAUUUUAAAUAUUUAAUUUAAUAUUCAUGUGUGUGUGUGUGUGUGUGUGUGUAACAUCUACACCAUCUCCUCCCCUAAAACUCUCCAAUUCCUCUUUUAUGACCUCCUAUUUUUUUCACAACUUCAACUUCAUAUUCUCUCUCUCUCUCUCUCCCAUUUACUACUGCCUCUCAUAGGUAUGGAUCAUUUACUAGAAUAUGCUUAGAUGUUUAGUGCUUAAUUCCUGAAGUAAACUAUUGUUCCUCACAAGGAUCCAUCACAAGAAGUUCUUCCAAUAGUAGUUCAUGAACUUUCCUCCAUCCUUGCUCAGAUUUUGAUCUGCUUCGUCUAUUCCAAGUCUUUUACAUGCAGUCCAAUCCACAGUGAGCUCAUGUGGGAAACUGUGCUAUUUGUCCAAUAAGCAGUGUAGAGAAGUAGAUAAGCAGACAUCUACUUCUUUUUUCUCCUACAAUCUGCCCAUUAUCUCUUUUGCAUUUAUCACUUGAGUGUUGAGAGGAGAUGUCAUUUUAUAUAUAUGUCCCAUUUAGAACUGAGAAUUCCAGUCAGUUAUUCUCUGCGCAUUCACCAGUUGUGGGGUUCUGCAUUAAUCAUCUUUACUAUUUAAGGAGAAAGGUUAGUUAAUGAGUGCCUUUUGAGGUGCACUCAUCUACAGGUAGGAAAAUAAUAACUCAGGAGGCAAUUUAUUGCCGUGUCUAAUUAAGUGAUGAAUAGUAUGAUGUUUUCCCUGCUGUCUAUGCAGACAUAGGGUUUGGGUCAAGUUAACACUAGCAAGUUUGGGUUCCAUCUUGUGAAGUGGGGUUUAAACCCAAUCAGUAAAUGGUUACUUUCGUAGCAUCUGUACCACUGCAGCACCUGUGGGUAUAUCUUAUCAGUCUAUCAUUACAGUACCUCACACUAUGAUAAUAGUUUUUAUUAUUCAUUUCAUUCACUUACACCUCAAAUGAUAUCCCACUUCCCAGUUACCCCCUCAACAGCCCCUCCCAUGAUAGCCCACUUCACAGUUAACAAUCAUCCCGUAUCUGCCCUGCCCACUAAAGGGCCAAGGUAUUCCCAUCCCGUGCUGUCAGGCAAGACCAUCCUCUGCUACAUUUGUAUCUGGAGCCAUGGAUCCCUCCAGGUACACUCCUUGGUUUGUGGUCUAGACUCUGGGAGAACUGGGUGGUCAGAUCAGUCUAUGUUGUUCUACCAGUGGGGUUGUAAUGUCCCCAACUGUUUCUUCAAUUAAAAUUCACAGAACCGCCCCAGCACUGUGAAAGCUAUCUAGUGGUGAUGUAACUUCCAAACAAGUGCUGGUUUGAUUUCUCCAUCCUAUGACUCAAGUAAAUAUUGUCCUUAGUAACGUGUAACCUUUCCCAUCAAGUUCUAGAAGUAACCAAGAGUAAUAGCAAUUUUUAAUCCAUGGGUGAAUCCAUUCUGUACCAUUUUUUCCAUAGCUGUAUGUCUGUCCACUGGAACAUAGUGAAUUUUAGUCAUUUUCAUUCCCAUCCAUCUCUCACUCAAACUCUUCCUAUCAUCCUAAAUAAAUCUCUUUUUAGCCUGUUUUUGCCACUGAGUUUAAUUGGGAUGGCUUCACGAGUUUGAUGAGAAAUAUUUGUGUGUCUCCUUCCUUGAUGUGACUAAGUAGAUUUUAUUGCAUAAUUUAGGCAUGCACAAAGCAAAAGUAGAGAACUGUGUAAAAUUAUUUUAGUACCAGUUGUUAAACAUAUUCCCAAAUGUAUUCACUUGUUAUUUAAAGUAAUCUACAUUUCCCUAUACUCAUUCUAGGCAGAAACUUACAGUCAAUCCUGGCCACCUUACCUGUUCAUUCCCACAGCCUCAUAAUGGAUGCCUGAUGACUUCUUGGGAUGAAUACUGUCUUUUCUUCAGGUUUCAGAAAAGGAAACCAGUGAAAGCAAGACUCUACUGCAGGCAGGCCAACUCAGAGGCAGAAUUCUGAAACCUUCUUUCUAAUAUCUGCCAUAGACUAUUUUUUAACUAAUAAAAUGCCUUUGGUUCAACCAUCAAUCACUCAUACCAAUGCGGGUGGUCUGAAGAUUCUCUAGUCAAUUUAUCUGAGUUUCUUGGGUAUUGUUUUCAUGCCAUACAUGUAUUUAACAAACAAAUUAAGUGGAAACAUCUUGUUUCAAUUUAUUUUAGCGCAAAUUUGAAUUUAGUUGCUUCUUCUCCUCCCUCCACCAGUUUCAUACUCUGACCUAAUUGUGUGCUUAAUGUUCUUGUGAUGUUUGGCAACGAUACUCAUUAAUUCUAUUACCUCUUGCAGGAUAAAGGGGGAAUUUUGAAAUGGCUAGCAGCUACAGAUCAAUACUCUAACUCAAUAGAGAUAAUUAUAGGAAUCACUAGGAGACCAGCAAGCUGCCAGCUGUAAGCAAUCAUUCUGGGCCUCAAAUAAAUCUGCAGAAAACACAAAGCAAAUUUUAAGAGCAUUAUUCUGAAAUGGAAUGUCUCAUACCGACAAAUGUCUUUGUGUUAUUUAUUUGUACAGGUUUGUUAUCAUUAGCUCUUGAUGCUAUGUAUUGAUUUUUAAAUACUGGUGCUGACUAAGUUUUAUCCUGCACCUUCUUUCCUCUGUAGACUUUCUAUUUUUUUCUACCACUGCCUUUGGGUGAUCCGACUAAAUUACAAGAUUUGCUUAUGCAUUUUACACUUUAAAAUAUGUGCAUCUCACAUUAAUAGCAAUUAACAACAAAGAUGCCAGAAGCAGGGUUGUCAUGCUCCUAUAAAGAGGCAUACUGUUUCCUGUAGCUCAGACUUCCUGCCCUGUCUACAUUUAAUUUAGUGAAAAUUUACAUUUUCCUGUCGAUUUUGCUUUUUUAUUUAUUUAUUUUUCUUUUUUACAUUGGAUAUUUUCUUUAUUUACAUUUCAAAUGUUAGCCCCUUUCUCAGUUUCCCCUCCAGAAACCCCCUAUCCCGUCCCCCUUCCCCUGCUUCUAUGAGGGUGCUCCCCCCUCCAUUCACUCCAUGGCAUUCCCCUAUACUAGGGGUCCAGCCUUCCCAGGACCAAGGGCUUCUCCUCCCACUGAUGCCCUACAAGGCUGUCCUCUGCUGCAUAUGCAGCUGGAGCCAUGGGUUGCCCCAUGUGUACUCUUUGGUUGAUGGUUUAGUCCUGGGAGCUCUGGUGGGUCUAGUUGGUUGAUAUUGUUGUUCUUCUUAAGGGGUUGCAAGCCCCUUCAGCUCCUUCAUUUUUAUUUUAAUCAGCGAGGCUCUAAUCACUAUGGCUGAUUCUCAGCAUCUCUCUGCAUUUCUCUGGGCUACAUAGAUGAAUAUAUCAUUUCUCUUAUAUGAAAUUAUUUUUGUUUGCUUGCUUAUAGCUCUGUCCUAGGAUGAGUAGCUGCUUUUUAAACAUUAUUGAAUGUGAACUGCAGCCUAUUACAUCCGAGAAUUCAAAUGGAAAGCUAUUCUAUUGUAUGCACCCCAAAGAAAUCAAUGAAGCUAAAUUUUAUACCAACAGUAUUAUUCACAUUUGUUCCAAAUCUCUAUGUCAGCAUCCUGGGUAUUAUAAAAAUAUUUAAAUAGAAAAUUAUUAGAACCUUUCACAAGGAUAUGUAUAUACACCUACUGCCCUAGCCAAGGCAUUAGAAGUGAGGGAUAUAAGAUCCUGAGAAUCAAUUCUGUUAUGCAGAAUCCGACUGUGCAGUACUUCUGAAUAUGGGAUGGCUCUCAUCUUCCUCCCAACCCAUAGAAAAUUAGGUAAAAGACCCUAGGAAAUGGAAAGACUACUUUGUAAGAUUCAUGGUUCUCAUUACCAGGUUUUAGGUACAUGUGCUUCUGCAAGUAUAUAAAAGUGAAUGUCAUACGCCAAUCCAGGGUAAUAUUUCUUUAGAAGCCAAACACCUUUGGUUUUUGAUACAGUGUGUGUGAUUUGGAAGUGAAAGCUAGGUCUGCUUCAGCCUCCUAGCCCUGUGUUCCCAGAAAUAAGACUCUGACUUAAAAUAUAUUUACAAAUUCCUUCCUUAUAUAGUUAGGCUCUAUUCUGAGUAGAUCAAACCUUAAGAUACCCCAAUUAUUUUCAUCUACAUUAUGUCACAUGGCUGAUUACCUGUGCUCAGGUAUCACGUGUCUGUCUCCUCACAUCAUCCCAGGUAGACCUUCCUUUGCCUCACUUGACUCAAGAAUCCUUUCUCCUUCCUGAUGUCCCACCUUCUAUUUCCAGUUUAAAAAUAUUCUCUCUAAACCUGAACUUAACAGAAUCCUUUCUGACUGGCCAGCAAUCCUCAGUGAUCUACCUGUUGCUCUCCAUGAGUCUGGGUCCAUAAACAGUUAUCUCUAAAUCUAAUUUUAAGGUGGGUCCCAUCAUGUGUGUUUGAUUCAAAAUCUCAUGCUGGCUUCAAAAUCACUAUGUAGCUAAAUGUUGCCUUAAACAUCUUAUCCUCCUUCUUCAGUGUAUACACUGAAGAAGUGUAUACCACCAUGUUCAGUGUAUACAGUGCUGGGGAUGUAGCCCAGGGCUUUUCAUGCCCGCCAUGAAAGCACUCUGAGAAGCUACAUGCCCUGUCUUGUUUACUUUUAAUACUCAAUUUUUUGAAGCUAUGGGCACUUUUAUUAUUUUAUAGUUCUCUGUUUGGUUUAGUUUUGCUUUAAAUUAUUCACUAACUCCCUUUGUGGCCAAAGAUGAUUGACCAUAUCUCUAAAACUGAUAGCAUGAAAUGCAUUUCUUAAAAGUUGCACAUUGUUUUGUAAAUCUUCCAAGAAGUUGUGGAUAUGAAAAUAUUUAACAUAUAAAAAAUCAAAUGCCUCCUUGAAACCAGUAGCAGGCUAGAAGGACCCAGACAGGUACUAACCAUUUCCACUAGGGCUUGCAAAUCGUGCACUGCACUUAGUUUCUUAAUUGACAAGGUGAUAGAGUGGAAAGUAAACAUUAAAAAAAAAGACAUUAUCCAGGUGCUCAGAUUUUAAGAUUCCUCAUCAAUUUAGUCUUUAUGUAAACAGUUAAUGUAGGCAGAUGACAUUUUUACACAAAAACUGGCUUUAUAACUAUCUGGAGACCUUUUAAAACGUGUUAUAUUAUCUAUCCCCGGGGAAAAGUCUGGGAAGUCAUCUCAAGCAAUUGUGUCAUAUGUAUUAAUUUUAUGAGAACUUCGGCACACAUGGCCAGUGAUCCACUGGGGAAUUUCAUUUAUUUUGGUUUCCACAGCUUAGUGCUGUGUAAAGAUGAUGGAUUUAUGCUGAUCCUAGAAGCUUUCUUUAGAAAGUCAAACUUCUGUCUUCCAGACAAGAGUCCUUCAUCUAGCAGGCUGAACUCCAUUUUUAGAGGAGAUAUGCCUUCUUUCAGUCACCCUUGUUUUUGUUUUGUUUUCCUUUGUUCUCUAAUUUCAUAUGGAUGUAGUGCUUCUUAGCUGCAGGCAUUGUCUCUUAUACCUCUCCCAUCCCUAUUACCUACCACAGAACUAUCUUUCCCACAUUUAUAAUGUUUUGCUCAGUUUUAUGGGCCACUAAGUUUAACCAGGACUGUCUGUGUCUCAUGGUUUUGUUGCUAUUAGAAAGUUUGACCCCCUCAUGAAGUCAAACUAAAGAUGAUGUCUGCCCUUCUCUCAGUGUCCGUUAAUAGCUCAUAGCUCAGCAGUGAUCAAUAGUAGGGUGACAAGAGACUCUCCUUAAAUUAUGAUUGGCUGUUGUCAGGCCUAGACUUGUGCGGGCCCAUUGUUGACAGCCUGUACUACAGUGAUGUCAUAAUUGCAUUAGUUGUGUCAUGCACACAAGAUAGACUUUCUUAACCUCUGUAUCUUACUCUAUUAUCCCUCCAAGCUUAUCUGUGUUGUUGACCAAACCCUAGAGGAAGUGGGAGGAAUGUUCCAUUGGGAGGUGAGCACUAGAACACCCAUUGUUUGAAUGUAGCAGCCUUUUAUGCUAAUAUUUUCUACCAUUCUCAAGCUGUGAUUUAUAUAUUUCUAAUAGUAAAUAUCCCUAGUAAUUAUUGUAUCACACAGUUUAUCGUUACACAAGAAGGACUUUUCUGUGCACAGACUUUAGCAGAAUGACUAGAUUUUUCUUACGUGAUGGGAGUACCUCUAUUUUAUUUUCCUAAUCGAAACUCUCUGCAGGUAUGACCAGGUAUCCCAUAGGAAAAAAAGAUGCCCAUGGGUAAGAACCAUUGCUCUAGGCCUCUAUUGGAUAUGUAGUUGGUGGACGCUUUUCCCAUUUGGUAGACUUCUGUUUUGUCCUAUUGAUGGUAUCCUUUGCUUUACAGGAGCUUUUCAAUUUCAUAAGGCCCCAUUUAUUAAUUGUCAAUUUAGUGCCUGCACUAUUGAAGUUCUAUUCUGUUUGGGCAGUUAUCUCCUGUACUGAUGCUCUCAAGGCUAUUCCCCCAUUUUCUCUUCUAUCAGAUUUAGUGUAUCCUGUUCUACAUUGAGGAUUUUGAUUAAAGUGGACUUAGGAUUUUUGCAGGGUGAUAAACAUGGGUUUAUUUGUGUUAUAUGUAGAUAUCCAUGUUAGACCAGCUCUAUUUAUUGGGGAUACCUUCUUUAUGCAUUGUGUAUUGCUGCCAUAUUUUUAUAUCAAAAAUCAGGUGGCCAUUGGUGUGUAGAAUUAUGUUUGGAUGUUCAAUAUAAUUUCACUGACCAUGUCUGUUUUUAUGCCAAUACCAUGUGUUUUUUUGUUAUCAUAGCUCUGUAGUAGAGCCAUAGUAUCAGUGAUGGUGAUUCCUCUAGAAGAUCUUUCAUUAUUCCUGAUAAUUUAUUAUCAUUAUUUGCACUUUUUAUUUUUCAAUAUGAAACAGUACUGUCCUUUUACAGUUUGUAAAGAAUUGUCUUGGAAUUUUUAAGGGAUCACAUUGUAUCUGUGUAGAUUGCCUUUGAUAAUAUGGUCAAUUUUACUACAUAAUCCUACCAAUUCAAGAGGGAGACCAUGUCCAACACUUCCAGGAUCCUCGAAGCAGGGUGACUCAGAAACCUAAGAAGGAAUCAAGCAUUACUGGAAAAAAGGUCAAUGGAAUGAUUCUUAGCUAUUUUGCUAUCCUCAUAGACCACAAUCCUCAUCAGAAAGGCUUCUUCCAGCAUCUGAAGAGAGUAGAUUAAGAAACCCACAGCCAAACAUUAGGCAGAGCCCCUCAGAACAGGGAGAAGAUUGCAGCGCCAGAGAGCUUGAGGACACCAGGGGAACAGGCAGAAGAUUCAACCAAGCAAGUCUCAGAGUGGUUCACAGGGACUGAAGUGCCAACCGUGGAGCCUGCAUGGAUCUACACCAGGCCAACUUGCAUACCUGCUUUGUGUUUAGCUUAGGAUUUUUCUGGACUCCUAACACUGGGAGUGAGGGUGUGUUUGAUACUUUUGCCUGCACAUAGAAAAUUUUUCCUCUUACUGGGCUGCCUCAUUCAUCCAUACUAUGAGGGCUUGUGUAUACUUGUUCACAUUUUGUUAGGUCAUGCUCUAUUAUUUUUCAUUGGAGGUCUGCUUUUUUCUAAAGGAAAAUGAGAGAGCAGUGGAUCUGGGGAGACAUAAGGUAGUGUGGUAGGGUUGGAGAGCAGUGGAGGGAGGGGAAGUUCUGGUCAGGAAUUAUUUAUUUAAAAAGUAAAUAAAAAAGAAAGAUCCAUUAAUCUAAGGUGCAACCCUGUCUAUUGCUUGUUUUAUUGGUGUCAAUACACAAAACUAAAAGUAAAUAAUAAAUUUAGGUCAUUAGAGAACAUGUUAUUGACAAGCUGAUUAUUUAGACAAUAGGUGAUUGGAUUAUCAAAAUAUGUUAUACAAACAGAGAUACAAUGAUUGUUAUUUAUAUUUAAUAAGUAUUUACUGUGAUGAACAUAAUUCUCAGCAACUGGUGUGUGUUUACAUAUUUAUUUCUAAAGUCUACAAGAAAAGGAUCCAUUUUCCAUCUUACUGAAGUAGCAAUAAUAGAGCUGAUUUUUGUUAAGGUCACAUAGCUAGCUGAGGAAUGAGGUGAGAAAUGUAUUUGACAGCACUCAAGAUACAUUUAAAGAGAUUGCCCAAUGGUUAAGAAUACUUGCUGCUCUUUCAAAGGAUAGAGGUUCAGUUUCCCACACAGUGGCUUACAACUACGUGUAACCUAAGGUCUAAGGGAUCAGACACCUUCUUCUGGUUUCCAAGGGUUUUUUCAUGAACAUAGAACAUGUAAUUUACUAAAUACAAUAUAAAAUAUAUAUAUAAACUAUAAAAAUAAAUUAAAAAUCUUUUAAAGAAAAUAUAUGUUUAGAUUGUAGACUUUGAGUGCUGUCCACUACCAAGCAGAUAGUCAUGACAUUUUCAUGAAGGGAAUCCAGUAAUUACCAGUUGCACAGUUUUACAUUAAUAAUUCUUCUCAAUUGCCCAAACCCUUCCAGAAGUUUCUGAUGUCUUAGCUACCAUGUAUGACAAUUUGAAAUUAAACCAAUUUACCAUCCUUGAUGCAGAUAUAUUUCAUUGUGGCAGCUAAUUUCUCCUUUCUUUGGGGGAUUUUUAUAUACAAACAUCAGAAUCAUAAUACUUCAUGUAAAAAUUUGGAAUUAUUGUUGUUUUUGAUAGAUCAGAAGAUCUAGAAUUGAUGCAGUCCUUCAUUAAUCCUUAUAGUCUAUAUCUCUUCCUGUUUGAUAUCGAUUUCCUAAUUGGUUCACAAUGGGAGCAACUGUUUCACUAUGGCUUUCACUCCACGAUGGUUUAUAUCUUGACUUAAUUGAUAAGGUAGAAUAAAUUCCUCUUCUAUUAAGCGGCUUUUGUAAGGCAUGUUGUUAUAGCAACGAGAAGAAUAACUGUUGUGAUAGUAAAGAGAAGAAAUAUAAAUACUUAUAUUUAUUUUCAGGAAAAUAUUAUUAGAAGUCCAAAGAGUUACAAUAUGAGACAGUUGAGAAAUGGGUUUAAUAUCAAUGUGUCUCUGUAUCUGGGUAUAAAAAUAAUCAUCAUGGAGAAAAGAAAAGGAAAGUAGAAAUGAUGUAAUCACAUUAUAAUAUUAUAAAGUUAAAAAGUCAUAUUUAAAAACAACAACAAAAAGUCCUAUUUGAAAAAGUUACCUUAUUUCACUUGUAUUUCAGAAAAGCAAUAAUACCAAUUAGCUUGUAUAUAUUUAUUUUUAAAGUUCUAGAGGGAAUAGAGAAAUGACUUGAUAUCUUCAUGAAUAGGUUCCAUUGGAGGCAUUUUGAGUCACCCAAUCUUAUGCACUAAGGAGCACUAGGCCAUCUGGCUUUAUUGCUUUUUGUUGUGACUGGAGGUCAGAAUGCUACCAGCAUCUAUUGAACUUCUAAAAUGUACAGAACCAUACUAGAUCCAAAUCUGAAAAUAAACCACUAAAUCUGUUGCCUGGGACUAUAUAAUGUAUAUGUCUAAUACUUUAUCUGAUAAUUAGAUUGGUCUAUUAUGUUUAGGUGAGUUUGUUCAAGAAUUAGAUCCCUGCAGACACAACUAAAGAUGUGGCUAGGUGAUUCUGUAGGAGGUUGGCCACCUAAUUCAGUGACUGAUCUAUUUCCAGAAAGAACACAGCACACAAAGAGAUGUUAUCAGAGUCCUGCCCAGGCUUCUGCAGUUCAAGUAAGACUUAUGUUUGAUGGAAAACAGUAAGGAACAAGCGAGGUUCUUCCUCUCAGAUCUCAAAAGGAACCAGCUCAGCUAAUGGCCAGGUCUUGUUUUUGCUUCUAGCUUAUAGGACCAAACCAGCAUGUUAUUACAUUAAACAGCUCUCUUCCUGGUUUUCGUUAGAGUAGCCCUAGUCAACUGGUACUCUGUGCUAAAAUCCUUCUAGUUGUACUCAGCUUAUUUGAGGAUUCUGUUCAAGAAUUACUAUAAGAAAACGAAAAAAGCAAAAACCCAGAAUCUACUCCCUGAAGUGAUUGUGGAUGCCUUCUUAAUAAGCAUUGCACUUAGCAAAAACUUGGGUAAAGGUAAAGCAAGAUUAGGCUGGCUUAUGAAAACAAAGACAUUUUACUUGUAGUGUUUCCUCCCCAGCUGAGAUGAAACACAUUUCUGAAUGAAUUUACAUCAUAUCUCUAAACUUGCAGCAGAAUGAUGUCUUGAUUGUUGAAGGUUUGCUUCCAGAAAGGAACCGGAUGUCCUCCCCAAGAAAAAAUUAGCAAUCAAAACACUCAUUUCUUAACAUUAGGUUUUUGCUUCCCUUUCAUUCAUAGGAAAUAUGCAUAGGAAAUAAACUCAUUUGAUUUAUGACUAUGAUAGAAAAGCAUCACAUUCUUCAAAGUCACCUUGUCUUUACCAAACUACAAAAAAGUCAUAUGAGUGUGUGUAUGCAUAUAUGUGUAUGUUUGUGCUGUACAUAUAUAUAUAUAUAUAAUAUAUAUAUAUAUGUGUGUGUGUGUGUUUAUGUGCAUCUGUGUAUGUGUAUGUGUUAUAUGUAUGUGUGUAUGUGUGUGUUGCACAUGUGUGUGUGCUGCACGUGUGUGUGUGUGUGUGUGUGUGAGUGGCACACACUUCUUUAUACUGAAAUUUAAUUUUCAUAUUUUAAUGUCAUAUCUGCUAGCAUUUUCCCCAUGUGAAUGAGUCGCAGUGUUCCCGAGAAGAGCACAGCUCACUUUGCUUUGGGAUCUUCUGGGUCUCCUGUCCUGGGGCUCCAGUGUUCUCCAGCUGAACCAUAUCUACUCCAGGCAUUCUGCUUCAGAUGCCCCAUGAACCUCAUCACUGAGGUCAUUUGCUUUGGCUAUGUGGCACCACUACAUUCAAUGGUACUGUUGAGUAGACUGAUAAAACGUAUUGGUUGGCACCAAGCUUUUACAAAAACAUGGUAAUUAUUUUCUCUCCAAGAAAUAAAGUGUUUGUUCAUUGUCAGCCUUUCACUUUUGUGGCCUUGGCGUCGUUAAAGCUUUUUUUCCAGAAACAGAUUUCUCAGAGAAGUAUAGGAAAAAAAAACUUUUGGUCUAACAAAAAUAAACCAUAUGAAGAGGCCUUGCUGUAUUUGCAUAUGACCAGGGCUUUGUUCCCAGCAAUCAUAUUGGGCAGCUUACUGCUGACUGUAACUCCAGGUACUGGAGAUCUAGUAUCCUCUUAUACUUUCAGUAGUCACCAAGCUUUCAUGUACAUUCAAUAGGAACGCACUUAUAUGGCUAAACUAAUUUUUUAAAAAGUCAACCUGCCUCAAAUGAAGAAAUUUGUGUCCCAUAAAAGAUAUUCCUUUUUCUGGGCUUCCAUGACUGACUCAGUAUCUACAUACAAAUUAUGAGAAACUCAUGAGGUUGUCUAUUCAAGUAGCUAAUUCAGAGCUUGAUGCUAGAUUUGACUUCUAUUAAAAUAGUAUGAGAAACUGAAAGGGCCUUGAUGAGGCCAGAAAGAGAAAGAAAAUGAAUCCCGAUGGAAUGACUUUCUAGACAGCAAUUCAUCUGUUAGUGGUAUUGAACAACCAAGAAAGGUAAUGGUUUCACAGUGACGAGACAGGAGAGAACCACACACACUGGAAAGAGAAGACUUAGAUUAAAGUGCACACGCAAAGAGUAAAUCUAAAAGCUAUCUGGAAUAUUUCAGCUUGGGCUACGAGUUAGGUGGCAUCAAAUACACAGGAAACUUUGCUUUACUUAUAAAAUAAUUUUGUAUUUUCUGUAAAGGGUUCAACAGGUGCAGUGCUAUGUCUCAGUAGAUAUAGGUGUUUGCAACCAAGACUGAUGAACUCAGAUAGAACCUAAGGACCCACAGGUAGCAGAAAAGAACAAACUCUUGCAAACUGUUUCCUAGCACAUUUGUGCUUAUGCAUAUGUAAGAUGUGGAGGAAUUUUAAUCCAACAACCUGGCUACUGUGGCAAUGGGUCACAUCCAAAGAACUUCUUGGUCUCUGUAGUCUGGCUGGAAUAAAAUGCCUUUAUUCUAUCUGACUGGAAUACAGACACACAUUUAAUCAUAAACAAUGUAGAUAAGGUUAGUUUGUAGAAAGAAGCAGCUAUAUUUGAAAGAACAUCUAAUUGGAAGGCAGUGAGUGGAGUUCAGUUGAGUUCAGUUCAGUCAGUUCUGUCAGUUGACUUCAGUUCAAUGGAGUUUGGAAGUUCAGUAAGUUGAGUCAGUGCAGGGAGUGCAGUGUAGUGGAACUGAGUUCCUUCAUGAGUUCCUGAUGUUCAGUGCACACCAGCAGAAGCCAUUGAAGCCAGAGAAUAAAAAGUCAGAUGAAUAGAACAAAUUGCCAGAGUUAGUUUGAGGUCAAGAAAAGCAAUUCAGUGAGAACCUGAAAGAAGCCAGAUGGAAUCAGUCAGCUUGUAGAGGUGUUUGAGCCUGAAGAGCUGAACAAGCUAGUCAGAGUUCACAGAGCACUACAAGGAGUGAGUAUUCAGCAGUAAGCCCUUGAGAUGACAAUUACAUCAGGCAAAUAAAAGCUAUGUUUCAAAUAACUCAAUAAAUAAAUAAAUAAAUAAAUAAAUAAAUAAAUAAAUAAAUAAAUAAAUGUAGCAAAGAGGUGAGCAAAGAGAAAAUUUACAAGUGAAAUGAAAAAUUGCCUGGAGUUAUUUAUCUAGUCAGUAAUGAGCCUCCAAAAAUUUAUUGAGAGGCAUUUUGCUUUGUUUUUAUUUGAUUUUUUCAACUGUUAGAAAAGUUAAAAAAUGUUUUUGUAAUAGUUUUAAAAGAACACCAAUAUACACUUCACAGUUCUCUAGAGUUCGGUAGAUCCAUUUCAGUGUAGUAGAUUUGGGCUGGAUUCACCUCUCUGAUCCUAUUAUCACUUUCUGAAAACUGUUAUUAUCACUCUAUCUUCUUGUGUAGUCGCAAUCUAUUUUUUUUAUCUCCGUGGCUAUUUUAUCUAUACAUAUGUCUGUGUACCACUUGCAUGCUUGUUGAGGCCAGAGAGGGCACUGGAUCCCUGGAACUAGACUUACAGAUUUUAUCUACCAUGUAAGUGCCGGGAAUAGAAUCUGGGUCCUCUGAACGAAAAUGUAGUGCUUUUAAUCUCUGAAGAAUCUCACCAUCAUGGAAAUUAACUUCUCUAGGGGCACUACUAGUAAUAAAAUGAACACUUAAUAAUAGAUAAUUAUUAUAGGCACAUGAUUUUAUUACCCUGAUAUGAGCCUCAUGGUGUCAAUCAAUACCUGUAUGUGCCCAGAUAUUUACACAUCAAUAGAUAAUGGAAUUAUGUGUACACAUGUAAUUUGCUUGCUUACGUAAACAUAAGCACAUCUAUAGAUUUUGAUUAUUCAUAGCCAAAACCACUAAUCAAGGUAAUUCUUUCCAACUCGUUGAUAAACUCGUUUUCACUGCUACCAAAUUCUCCACCUUUUCUAAUACAACACAGAGAGAGAGAGAGAGAGAGAGAGAGAGAGAGAGAGAGAGAGAGAGAGAGAGAGAAAGAGAGAGAGAGAGAAACACAUACACACCAAUAAUUUCAAUUUAUUGAGAAAAGGCAUUACCAUAAAAGCAUUUUGGAUAGCAAUUUUAUGAGCUAUAUGGAUGUACUUUUCCAAAUAACUCUCCUUCCAAGAAGAUAGGCUUGAAGUUAGCAGCUUAGAGCUUUCUAUAGAAAGUGAUGUUUAAACUGUCUGCUGAAAAAGGCAGAAUGAUGAGUGAAUUUAAGCACCACCUUUCACAGAUGUUCUUUGCCUGAACUAUUUUAUUCCCAUGGUAUAUACUUAGCUCUAUUAAAAUAAUAUUACCUUCCCCGCCUUUGUGUGUUUUAUGUUCAAAUGGCUUCAUGGUUCUUAAAAGCUGAGGGUAGUCUCUUCUGCAAACCAUGUUUCCAGAGUCGGAGGCCAGAGCAAGAAUAUUGUAAAAUCUAUAAUGUCCAUUAAAAUAUAUACAGGACCUUCCCUAAAAUUUUAGAUACACUAAUGGUUGCUAUCUUCAUUUCUUUAUUUACCCACCUCAAAGCCCAAAGCACAUGGAAGUUGUGAAGAAAUUGAAGAAAUGCUAUAACUCCUAACCCCACCUUUCCUAAUAGACACAUUGCUUAACCCAGAGUCAGUGUGCAGGCAAAAAUGUGUUUGUUGCAGUACAGGAUGAUAGUUUGCCUAAGCCGUGGCUUAAAACUCUUUGGCUAAUUGGGGAUAAAUUGUAACUGAUUUCUUUUUUACUUGAAACGGAGAAGUAAAUGUCUAUUAGUCAUUAUUCCAACAAGAAUCUGUCAUGGUUUUAAGAUGAAGGAUGUCUGCAGGAGGAAUUUUGCCAGAUUAUUGGAUCAUUAGACUGGUCCCAAUUCAUCAUCCUUCAUAGAGCUUGGCUGUAAUCUGCACAUUUAUAUGAUAAUAUUCUGGUUGUGAUGAAAUGUUCUUGUAUUAUAUUCUUUUGAGUAAAACUGUAUAGACUUAACUCUUUCUGUCUCUCCACUUAGGAAAUGUCACUGUGGAUUAGAACUUGAUUUUGACAAUUGUGUAAGGACAAAUUUGAAAACAAGGACAUUCAUUUAUGCAGUCUCAAAACUCUGUAGAAAUAUAUGAAUUCCCUUGAGGGCAUGAGACAGUUCUUGAAAUGUUGCCUGCCCUGUGGGAGAAGACAAAAAUGGUUGAAGCCUAGGCCUGAAUCCUCCUCUUUUGUCCUUAGGAACACACUUGGACAGCCGUGUUAAAAGUUAACCAUGACAAAGAUGGUCAGAUGGGAGUGAGAGGAUUAACCCUGGAUUUUAAUGCUUAGACUAGUAUCAUCUUGUGAUUUCUGUAAGGAAUCCUGAAAAUGCAGCCUCUCUUCCCAUAGAACAGUAUCUAUUCCCAAACCAUUAGCAGGAAACAAUCCAUCAACGGCAUAGAAAGCCCGACUUUCUUCCUAAUUCCUAGGCAAAGUUAAUUUACAAAACCAAACCAAACAAGCAUACCAACAAACAUGGGUUGAGAUUGAAGAUGUGGCUUACUGGUUAAGAAUGCUCACAGUUCUUGCCGAAGUCCAGAGUUUAAUUCCCUGAAUCCAUUUUUAGUGGCUUGCAACUACCUGUAAGUCAAGCUACAAAGGAUCAGACACGUUCUACUGACCAAUAGCUUUGAUGAAUUCCCAGCAGCGACCACAGCAAAAGAUAAAAGUCAGUCAACAAUCUAGUAUAGAUUGGGAAGGGGUGAUGAGCCUCAUUCCUAAUUGAGGAGCUGCGAACACUUUGUGACACCUAGGGGAAAGGGGUGUAGUUUUCCCAAAGAUCUGGGUCCUAUAAAGUUAACCACAAUGCAGUGUUUGACCAAUACGUAGAAAUAUAUGGAUAUCACUAGUCAGCAUUCAUGGACUAUUAAGUUUUAUUAAAGGAUAUGAAGCUUUAGAAGUAGGGAGCUGGGUGGGUCUAGAAGGAGCUAAGAGGAGGAGUUGUGGGUUAAUACAGUCAAGAUAUAUGUGGUAUCAUUUAGAUUUUCAGUAGAUUAAACAAAACCAGUUUAUUUUUAGUUAUUACCUGUGUGCAAUUAGCAAAAGAAAGCUUAUAAGCUAGACCCAUCACCAUGAGAUGAGGUAGAGAGCAGAAGAGUCAUUCAAGAUACAAUUACUGAGUACAGAAGGAGUAGGCAUAUUUUAAUUAGGAUUUUACUAAUUACUAAUUUAUGGAAAAUCCUUAUAGUUUUUAAAUUAACUUACAAACUUGGGCCAGAGUUCAGUCUUCAGGCUAUUACAUCCUUUCUUUUAUUUUCUCCUUCCACCACUCCUCUCUGCAUUAAACUAUUCCUUUAUAAUAGUCCCAUUUAUCAAAGAAGAUAUUGCAAAACUUCACAGGCUACUAUCUAAAAAGAGGGUUUAUCAUAAUGUCAAAUAGACAUCACCUAGAAAAACAAUUAUUUCGAAAGGCUCUAUUAAUACCUGACAAUAAAUUUGUAAUGCUGAAUUCUGUUUCUUUUGCAAUAUUUUUUUAUAAAUUUUAAGAUAACCUUCCAUAUUUGGAUCUUAAUGUAUUUCUAAUUAAUUUUAAUGGAUUUUGCAUUUGUGAAAAGACUAAGCUAAAAUAAAAAAAUUAAACAAUAAUUAAACUAUAAAUUAGAAUAUGCUAAUAAAUUUGAAUAUGCAAAUGAUGAAUGAAUUAAUAUAAGAGGUAAAUUUUCUGAACUUGCAAAUAGUAUUUUAUUUCUUCUUAUUUAUUAUUAUUGUGCAUACACAACAUGGUGUGCCUGUGGGUUUAGUUCAUUCCUUUCUCUUUAUUGUGGGAUGCAAGGACUUAGGUAUUCCAGACUAUGGACAAGUGUUUUACCCAUGGGCCAUGUCAUGGGCCCCUAUUAUAUUUUUAACAAAUGGACAAGGCAUAGGUGGAGUCAGUUGCUAUAACUUUUACAACAGUCUAAGAGUAUUAUGGUGACAGACAGAUAUCAUGAAGAAUCAGUUGUAUCAAUAAAAGGGAAAGGCUUUUGUUAAUGUUUUAAAUGAUGUAAAUCAUCACUGAGCAGAUACUCUUAAAUAAUCCACAUUAUCUACUAGCUUCCACUAAUAUUUUUAAAGGGAAAUGUUAAAUUCAUCUUACUGGAUAUCUUCUGGUGCAUUGAUAACCUACAGUCAAUAUAAAGGGAAAAAAAAACAACUGGCCAAUAUUUGGUCAUUUUACAAACUACUGUGCUUCCUACGUUCUAAGAUGUCAAGUUCAAUGACUCUUAAAUGUGUCUAUUAGCGCUCUUUAGCACAGUUACAGAAUUAUUAUUUCCUUUAUGUAUCUUUGAGAGACAAAAUGUUGAUUAUUUUUUCAUUAAUUACGUUCCUUAUUAUAUUGUAAAUAUGAAGUUUUUCUCUGCCUUCUUGGAAACUGCAAUGGAAAUGUAGGAGUCUAUUGACUCUAUGCACAGACUAAGAGAUACGCAAAUGUCCCCAUAUAAUUUAGAGUAAGAAAAUUUCUUGUUGAAGUGAGAAUAAUCCUCCAUAUCUAACACUCUUCCUGAACUCAAUUAUUUUAGUUUGAUAAAAGAAUCAAACAUACAGAGCAAUAAAAUGAAUGAAAUAAGUUUAGAAUUCUAUACUCCAGUAUUCUAGCAAAUUCCAAGGAUCUCAUUAUCUACUUGAAUCAUCAGGAAAAUGUAUUUCGUAUGUAAGAAGUUUGUUUUUCUUAGUCUACAUAGGUUCUGUGUUUUGAGAUAGUGUCUUGCCUUGAAUAUCAGGUUGCCCCUGAAUGUAUCCUCCUCCUCCUGCUUCUGCCUCUCAAGCUCCAAAGCAACAGGUGUGAACAGCCACACACAAGAUGAUCAUGCUUGAUUAAUUACGUUUCAAAAAUAAUUCCUUGAGGUCUAUCCUUGCAAAGGAUGAAGGGCUCUAAAACAGGAGUGAAAAGGUAGCUAGAUGACCACUGACUAGCAUUCUUAGUAGCAACAGGCUAGUGCUAGUAGGAACAAUUAAAGCAAAUUAAAUGGCAGAGAGCCUGACCUUUUCCUCUCUCUGGUUUUUGGCAUGUACAUUUUAUAAUACCAAAUAACAACUCUAUGGAAUAUGAACAACGGUUUUCUCUGAAACCAAAAUUUAGUCAUUAAGAACACAAAUGGCAACUUCCAAAAAAAAAAAAAAAAAAAAAAGAAGUCCAUGUGAACCAAUGCAAAACAAAAAGUAGGUGCUAUUUCAGGAUUGUAGUUAGCGCCACAUGCCUAAGGUCAAGUGAGUCUUAGUUGCAAAUCUGUGUCUGCAUGUUCUGGAAAAUAAAUUUUAGGAUCAUUUCAGACAAGUAAUUUUGCAUACCAUGUGGCAAUUGAACCACUCUGUUCAUUUGUCUUACUCAUGAGGAAUCAUUGAAAAUUAUUUUAAUAUUAUUGAAUUCACUUCCUAUCAUUUGUCUUCACAAAAGCCCAAUGAGAGCUUCUAUGGAGCUAAAGGAGAUAUCCAUUAAUGAAUAUUUGAAAGGGAACAUAAGGUUUUAUAAGGAAGUGGGUUCUUCAUGGUAAAGAAGUAGUCUCCUAACACUAAUAGAGGUGGUUGGAGGAUCACUCUUUGCUCUCAGAAUGCAACAGAGAGCCUGAAGGAUUUUCUUGUUUCAGACUUCCUUCCUGCAGAGUUCUCUUCAUAAUUCUCAAUAUGGUGAGCAGCAUGAAGAUGCACUUCCUACCAAAUGUGCUAAUAUGAAGUCAAUUUAAAUUCUGAGUUGACAUUGAGGGAGCAAUCUGUAAUUAUUCAAUUUUGCAAUAAACUCUAGUUGUAGAUGCUCUAAGCAGAAAAGAUGAGAAAAAUGUGCAAAUACAAAUUGUGUGCUUAAAUCUCACUUAAAGUAUCCCUUCUGUAUAUUUAAAUCCUUACAUAUGUUUAAAGGGAAAUCUGUAUGUGAUCUUCAUAUCAGAAACAAUGAACGUAAUGAACAAGAUUUUGCAUGGUUCAUCCAAUGACAGGAGAAUAUAUUUUAAAAUGUAAUCUGUGGGUAUUUAAACAUUUUAUUAGAAUAAAGAUUUAAUCAUGGAAAAGAAAGCACAAGAUUUAGAGCUGGAUAAUAUAUGAAAUUUUAUGGAUGAAAGGUGGGCUAUGUAGGAUGGCAUCAUUGUGACAAAUAUCUAGGAAUACUAAGAUUAAAAGGAGAAAAUUUUAUUUUGGCUCAUGAGUUCAAAGUUUUCAGUUCCAGGUCCAUAGUUCUUAUACAGUUGUUGAAUCUUAACAACAGAGAAUAUCAGUCAGGUGGGCAGAAAUAAAGACACUCCAGUGCUUUUUAUCAUGGCAGGCAUAAAACAGAGACAGGAAAGGUGCAGGUACCAAAAUCUAUCUAUGUUCAACAGUGAACUAUGUCCUCCAUCAUAGCCCCAUAUCCUAAUUUUCUAGCAAGGCCACCAGCUAGUGUUCAAGAGUUCAACACAUGAGCCUGUGUGGGCAUUCCUUAUUCAAAUUAUAUCAGAAAGGUGAGACAAUGAUGCCACAGGUAACUAAUAUGUAUAGUUUAGGAGAUCUUAAUGAUGCGUUUCUUUAUAAACUUCAGACUGAAAGCAAGUUAAAAGGAGACCAUGUUGCUGGAUACUUUUGUCUUUAUGUAAAGCACAAAGCUGGUGAGUCCUUUUUCACACUUACUUAAUUAGAUGGAAAUUGUUGUUAGGAAAUCCAGACCUGCAAAGCCGAUAUUCCCUGACUUUAUAUACAAAGGAUAUUUUGAACAUAUUUAUUCCUUGAUUCCCAUCCAGAUAGCAUUACCUAUCAGGGAAAACAUAUCUUAUUUCUGCUGUGAUGUGAGUUAGGUAAAAUAGAGAUGGUGAAAUUGCCCCCCCCCCGCCCCAUCCACUUCAAUUUCAUUUCUAGACCAUCUGAAACAAUAAAAUGCAGCUGUUUUGGAGUCUCAAGAAUGCCAAGUAUCUUGCACUUGCAACAUAAUUGAAUGAGUCUUAAUCACUUCUAGAAAUGUUUAGAACUAUCCCUAUGAUUAUAGCGUAGAAAAAUAAUUUCAAUAUCCGAUGGAUUGACAAAAGACAUACUUAGAUUUCCAAAGCUGAUGUAAGUAGGAAGAGAAUCAACUCUCCUUCACUAAGAAAAAAACUGAAUUUUUUUUUGCUCCACAUAAGCUUCUUUUUUUCCCUCCAUCUUUAUUAACUUGGGUAUUUCUUAUUUACAUUUAGAUUGUUAUUCCCUUAAAAAAUUAAUCUUAAAAAGAAAAUUAGGUACUAGAGACAUGGCCCUGCAUUUAGGAACACUUGCUGCUCUUACAGAGGACCGGAGUUCAGUAUCCGUAACACUCAGAGUAGCUGUUGUAAUGCUAUAUUUAGACGAUUUGUUGUCUGCUUCUGACUUUUGUGAGUAUUGAACACACACACACACACACAACACACACACACACACACACAAAACACAAAUAAAAUAAACAUAUAUUUUAAUUCUUUGUCAUGUUUAUGCUUCAGUCCUUUGUGCCACAGAGAUUAGCAGUGCUUUUCUAUGAAAUUUGUUUUCUGGUCCACACUAUUUCUUUCGGGAGGUGAUCCAUUGCUAUGCUCAUGUAUAAGUAAGCUAUCAAUUUGUAUUCUUUAGCUUCUACAUGGUAACAAACACAUCUCUGUGGGAAUAACACAUCUUCAUUAAUGAAGAGUCAAAACUAAUUUUUCGAGAGUAAGGCAUGUGGAAACCCUCCUGAGAUAGUCGAAGCCUGGAGUCUAAAAAGCUUCAGGCUUCUCCUCAGAGCUUAAUCAGGUCUUAUACUGAGAGUGUAGAGUUUUUACAAAACCCCUGAUAAUAAUUAAAUGUCAUUAUAGGCUGAAUUUGUUUAACUGCCAAUUGCAGUCAAAAUAUUUGUAGUGAUAAAUGCUUGUGUGACUGCAGAGUUAAGGGCCUAUCAGAGAGCAGAGUGUGCUUUUUUGUGUAGGAAGCACCCAGGCACAAAACUAUAACUCAGUCUUUUUAUAGCUGUAUCAGGUACCAUCUUUCAUACAAAACAUAAGAUAUUACUCUGGAUAAUUUCUUUAUGAGAUUUUUUUCAGGGAGGUUAUCAAAGUAUCAAAAUUAUAUAAAAUCAGAAUAUGUGUGAAUGCAUAUGUGUAUAUGUAUGUUUAUGAUUUCUCCAGGAGGGGAUUUUAAAAAUAACUCUUAUCCACAUUGCCAGGCAAUCAGGACUAUGAAAUCUAGAAGGCAUUAUUGUAUCAGAGAUUCUGGUCCUCAGACUUUUACAACUAUUUUGGGGAAAAAUGAUGAAAGAAAGAAAGAAAGAAAGAGAGAGAGAGGGGGGGGAGGGAGGGAGGGAGGGAACGGAGGGAGGGAAGGAGGGAAGGAGGGAAGGAGGGAGGUAGAAAGAAAAAAAAAGAAAGAAAGAAAGAAAGAAAGAAAGAAAGAAAGAAGACUUUAAAACACUAGAAUAAUCUCAAUUAAGACCAGGAAUUGAAAUGUAACAAAAAUUAAUAAUCUGAUAAAACUAUGAGAGUGAAAGCAAAUGAAUAUGAUAAAUAACAUCUUAAGAGAAAUGUAAAUUAAAGUGCAAAAUACUUUCAAAUUAAGAAAACAUGAGAGAGAGGAUUGAAUAUUCAAGAUACAAUAUGCACAUUAACUCUAGAGAGAGACAAAUUCUACAGAAAAGAAUCAUGUUCAAAGUAGAGAAGCAUGGUACAUUCCUAAGAGUAAUGGAUUGUACAGUCUGGAAUGGAAGAAAGACAUGAGAGGUGGGGGAGUCAGACAGACAAACAGAAACAGAGACACAGAAAGAGACAAACAGAGAAACAGAAAGAGAAGGGGAUGCGACAAAGAGAAAGACAGAACAAGACACAGAAGGCAGAGAGGGAAGAGAAGGAAGACGACAAAGCAGAGGAGGAGGAGGAGGAAGCAGAGGAAAAUGUGAGGAAAACAAGAAGAAGAAAAUACAGAUGUGAUUCAGAGAAACAGAAAAUGAUUUCAGUAGAAAAACUGGAUACUGGCUAUCAGCUAAACUUUUCUAAAUCAAUUUUAUCUAAUGAAAAUAGCGAUGCAUAUUUUAAACAAUAAUGAAUAGAAAUCGCAGGGACAUGUUUCCAUGGAUAAGAGUGCUUGCUACUCUAAUGAGAGCCUGAGUUCAAAACCCAUAACCCACAUAAAAUUAGGAUAAGUCCAUACUCACCUAUAACCUAGCCAUUGUAGUGUGGAGACAGGGGGAUUCCUGUCGCUGGUGCUACCCCAUAGCCAGCUUAGCUUAGAGUUAAGUGAGAGACACUGUCUACACAUAAUAAGAUAGUAAUAGAAGUCACCUAUUUGUUCUUUGGCCCCUGCAGGUGACCACCCAUAUGCAUACAGAAGUAUGUUGUCCGUGUACUCACAUCAGAAAGGGAGGAGGGAGGGAGAUAUUUAAGAAAGACUUUUAUAUUUACUCAUUUCAAGAUCAAAGUAUACAGUCCAAACAAGUUCUAAAUGGUAUGAAGACACUUUCAAGUCAGCUUUCCCACAAGACUGUGUUACAAAACCAGAAUUAGAUAGCUAAAAUUGUAACAGAAAAAUAUCCUCAGCAGUGAAUAUAAAGAACAUGACUUACUGAUUUACGAUGAAACAAAGGACACACUAACCAAAAGCACCAGUUGAGCAGGUUGUUAGAGUAAUAUCAAAAUUAGCUAGUGCCCAACUUAAAGCAAAUAUGCAAACUGCAACCUUUUACACUUCUUAAUGGCUCAAGAAUAUGACUGCAUAAACAUCUAUCAGACACGAUUAAGUCAACUAUGAUACAAAAAAUGAUGUACUUUUGAUUGAAAAAGCAUUAUUAGUUAUUAAGAUGUGGUUUUGAUUUAAACUUUAGUGUAAUUAGUAUCCAGUUGGAUGAUUUCCGUAGCAAAAGAAAAUAUGGAGGAACAUCUCCAGAAAUCAGUCAGUAUUGAAUUCAUUUGCACUAGAAGAAUUAAUAAUUUUAGCAUCUAUACCCUUUCAGUAUUUCUUCUUUUUUUUCUUUUUCCUCCUCCCUCUUCCUUCUCUCAAAAAUUAAACCUGAGUCUUUUUCACUUCUGAGAAAAGAGAAGGAAUCUGUUUGCCGUGUUCUUCCCACAAAAGAGAUCUAAAUUCAUGAUUACCAUAUUUAAGACAAAUUUGAGAGGCUUUUAAAGUCAGAAAUAAAAGAACUUAGGAUAACUGAAGACAGGGGGACUUGAGAAAUGAUAUGGUGAAAAGUCCUCUGUUAUUUUCUCUGUUGUUUAUGUAUUUUUGCCUCAUGUUUCAGAUUUGAACAUAAAGGAGUCAACAGCCCAGAAAUGUCAAUCUGUGCAGAAAAAAGAAGUGCGAUCUCUCUAGCCUAGGGAAAAUCUAGAAAGAAAAAUCAAAUAAGCAAAAGGAAACAACACUUAUAGAACAAAUGAUGAUGUACCCAAGUACUGCUGUAAAAAGAACAACUCACACCCCUUUUAUCCACUCCAGGAACAGCUAUGACAGUACAGACUUGUAAAUGUGUAUCAUCCAGAGGCUGUGUCCUUCUUUUUGGCAUGCUCAAGUGCCUCCCCAUCUCACCCUACCCCUUUUCUCCUGGAUGGUUACAGGGAAAUUCCUGGGGUCCAGGUUUUUCAUAACCCUUUGGAUAGUCACAAAGCUGACCAUGGUGUCAGCUGAGACAUCAUAGAGACAUGAAACCUUAGUUUGCACCCAAGAAUAAUGAAAGGACAUUUCUUUAGGUGUCAUGAUGGUUAGAGAUGUCAAUUUGACCUAAAGGGUGGAAUUCUGCAGGGCUGUCUUGAAAUAAUUUCUUGAUAUAGGAUUAUCUGGUAUCACUGUAGGUAGGACCACUAAGUAGUGGAAGCCUACACUAUAUUAAGUGGAACGUGUAAACCAAACACUAGCAUGAAUUCAUCAGUGCUCUUCAUUAUUCACAUACGUGAUAGAACCAGGUGCGUCCAUCUCCUGCAACUAAGAUUACUCUCCUUUGUGACGACCUCUGACCUGGAACUGCACGCCAAAGUAAACCCCUUCCCAUUGAGUUACUUUAUCAAAAUUAUUAUUACAAAAGGAAAACAAUUUAAUAAAAUCAUCAAUAAAAAAUUAAUUAUAUUGCUGCAUUGGUAACAAAAGAAUCUCUCCGUAAUAGAAAAUUACAGGACACAUUCUUUUAACACUCAUGAGUCAAAUAUAAUAAGUCUGAAAGAAAAUCAUGAAGUCUAUUAAACUGAAUAAAAGUCAAAAUUUUCAUUUAUGGACAUUUGAUGACAUACACUAGUUAGAAAACAUUUAUAGUACUAAAUGUGUAAUGCAUAGAAAAAGAAAAGUGCCAGGAAUUACUAGGUGUGCCCCUGACCCCAGAACCUGGGAAACUGAGGUAGGAAGAUGGUAAUUCAAGGCUAUAUGGGAGACAGAGACCGACUCUGUCUGAAGCUAACAAACAACUACAAUCUUCAAUUAUAAUUUGACUGUCAAAACUGACAGAGCAAAUAAAAAUAAAAUUACAUAGUAUAACGUUAUUAUUAACUAUUGAACAGUGCUAUCUACUCCCAUAACCCACUUUAAAAAAAACAUACAAAAUGAAAGGAACCUAAGGAAGAGGCUGAGAAAAGAGAGCAAAACCCAAAAAUUAUAUUAAAAGGACAACAACAACAACAACAACAACAACAAAAAUAAACAGUGAAGAAUCUCAAAUCAAAUCAUUGAAAAAAUGAUUUUUAAAACUGACACAGAAAUUAUGCACAUAGACAAAAGUGGUGUUAUAAACGUUAUUGGAAUUAUUUACAAAAUUAUUUUUGUCCUGCGGGAAGACAUUUUAAGGAGGUAAAGUUAAACUGUGGAGAAGGAUAAAAUAUCUACUUCAAUACAUCAUGAAAAGAGCUAGAAACUAGAAUGGGAAGAAUGAGGAACUGGUGAGACGGCUCUGUGGUUAAAGGUGGUCACGGCUGAGUCUGAUUACCUGAGUUUGAUUCCUGGGACUGGGAUGGUGGAGGAGAGCACCCACUCCCUCAAGGUAUCUUUGGAUUGCCACACUUCUAGUAGUGACCAGGAAAUCUUCCCAAUAUACACAAAUAAGGAGUAAAUAAAUAAUUCUUUAAAUUAGACUAUAAAACUUUUAAAUCAUGUAAAAAAUAUACAAACAAGGCCAUUCUUUGGAUGGAUGUGAAGAGACACAGUACUUUAGAUUUUAUUCAGAUCACUGUGAACCUUGUCUAAGCUUGUCAUGCAUCAAAAAAAAAUCAAAUGAAGUUCACAGGGAAGGUUAAUCUCCAAGUAAAGUGGCUAGAAAAUAUUAGCAGCCACACCACAGUGUGGAGAGGAAUUGGAGAGAAGGGCUCACCCAGAGUAUUGCUGGCAGGAAUGGAAAAUGCUUCAUUCACUAUCUUGGCUUUGUUUCCUGUUGCUGUGAUAAAAUAUCUGACAAAAGCAAGUUUUAGAAGAAAGGGGCUUUUGUUGCUCACAGACCCAGUUUACUGCCUCUCACUGAGGGAAGUUACUGAGGUAGCAGAUGGAGAGAACUGGUCACCCUGCAUCCACACGCAAGAGCUGGUGUCAAUGGAUAAAUAUAUCAUGCGAUGUUAACCUCAUGCUCCUCCCAUGUAUGUGGUUUAGGGUCCUAUGGUAAGGAAUAGUGCUCUAGUCUCUGAGUGAUGUCUUUUCUUAUCAAUUAAGUUCAAGACAACUCACUUCAGACAUGGCCCUGAUCCAAUCUGCUCGAGACAACUCUUCACCAAUAUUUCUCCCUGAUGAUUCUAAAUUGUGUCAAGUUGACAGUCGCAGUUAAUGAUCACAAGAAUACUGGAGAAAAGUUAAAAUUUUUCUUCUAAAGAAAAAUAAGUUCAGACAUGCACGUGCAUGCGUGCGUGCACACGCAAACACUCCCCUGUUAACAGGCUAGGGUGUGACUUGAUUUUGCAGGGAUGGGAAGCACUGUGCAUGAUCUGAGACUCUGGACUAAGACAUCUAUGGGGCAGACAAAUAGACGAAUACCUGGUUCUUGACUUGAGCUGUAACUACAAGAAUGCUUCCUUUAAAAUAUUUUCUGAGGUCCUGUAUGUAUUUUCUAUGCCUUUUAAGAAACUGAAGAUUUUAGAGCAGAUUUUUCAAUUUAAAAUUUUCAAAUCUUACAAAUGAUUUUAAGCCUAUAUUUUUUUUAACUUUAGUAUGUACAGAUGGUCUUCAAUGUAUGACCAUACUACUUAACAUUUUCCUCAUAGCAAUACAUAUUCGGUACAAACCAUAUUUCAAAUAUCUUUUUGGUUAAUGGUGGAUUCUUGAGCUACUUACUAACAGCAGAAAACCCAUAGCUGCCCGUCAGCCCAGUGAAGAUAAAAGUGACAGUGUGCGUUGUCCUAAGUUUGAAGCUCAGUAGCCAAGUGCGUUCAUGGCGUAUAUGUAUAUGACAGCAUAUGUGCCUUAGCCACUUUGCUGUUGCUGUAAUAAGAAGUUUGAUUAAAGCAAAUUAAGGGAAGAGCAGUUUAUUCUGGCAUCAUGGUAGGGAAAUCACAGAGACAGAGGAAACUUGCCACAUUGCAAGUACAUCCCAGAGCAGUGAAUGAUUACAUGAACUCUCAACCGUGUUCUCUGUUUUAUAUACUUCAGAAUCCAUACCCAGGAAGUCGAGCUGGGCAGGGAGACAUAGGUUGUCCUUUUAUACCCCAGGAUGACCUCUAACUUUCUACGUAUCCCAAGAUAGCCUUUAAUACUCAACCUUCCUGACUCAGCUCCCAGGACCCUGGGAUUAUGAGUGCAAAUUAUAAGAUUCAUUCUAAUCCUAAUGAUAAUAGCAUCUUUCCCUUCUUCCACAAGCUAGUUAUUAGGGGUUUCUAGUUCUGUUAAUGUAAUAGUUAAUUUUCAAGAGACAAAAAUGCUAGAUUUUUAGUAUAGAAGCAGUUAUCUAUUUUCAUGUUUAAAAAUGAACUAAAGUAUAAGAGACCAAUAUAACCCUGGUGAUAAAUUUUACAUGCUUUUAAAGCAGUGUUGUCUGGAUCUCAAGUAUGAGAAAUUAUAAUCUAUCAUCAGAAGAGCAAGGGACAAGGUUUGUGUACAACUAGUGGAAAUUUUAGCAUUUCACUUUUACAGAUAUCGCUUCCUAAGUGAAAUUCAUAUUUACUACAUUGGGAAAUGCUGAUUUAAUUUGUCAAUGUUAUUUAUAGCCCAAUGGCCAAUUUUGUAUACAAUAUUAAUAUUAUAAGAAUAAAAACCUAAUUAUGCAUUUAUUACUUACAUAAUUAUGAUCUAAUUAUCCAACUAGCAGAAAAUGCCUUUCACUGUGGGUAGAUUUCAAUAAAGAUAUUUUUUAUAAACUUUACUUGGCACUUACUGUGCAAUAAAUGUCUCCAUAAAUAUAAAUCCAGUGCUUUCUUCAGAGAGCCCAUUUUACAUAAUCAAUCUUAGUGACAACAGUUUUGUUUAGAAAAUAUGACUUUUAAAUAUUGAAUAGAUUAGAGCCCAUGGCUUUUCCUAAGCAAUACUCCUCCUUCCUUAUAAAUGACGUUUAAAACUGUUCUUUUCUGUUUCCUUUCAAUGUGAAACAAAAUAGUCCAUCAAUUGUGUCAUCUCAAUUGUGUCAGGCUUCCUCCUUCUCUUCUUCUUUUGUAUGGUUUCGUGGAUAAUUGAGUAAAAUUAUUGAAUAUGAAGCAUACCAAGGGUAGAACACUCUUAUGUGGCCAAAUUUGCUAGACCCCUCUUCUAGGGUCUCACCACUAUUACACACUAGCAAAACAGAAACUCUGUACAUUAGUAACUGUACAUUAUCCAGAAACUCAUCCAAGCAAAACCAAUGGUAAAACAAACGAGUAAGACCUAAUGUCUCAUUACCAGACAUAAUUACUACAAAUAAACAUGUUUGAGAUUUUAGAGAUAUUUGAAGGAGACUGGAAAUUUCUGGUGUUACUUAUGUGGUUAUGUUAAGACCAGCAUUCAGAUUUGUUACUAUGCAACAAAUUUGUUACUAUUUUGAUGAUUGGCUUUCUUAAACUGUACACUUCUUAGGAAAGUGAAUUAAAAUAUUAGCAACUGACUUUCAUAGUCAAGUCUUUUUUCUGGGUUAUUUCAUCACUUACUUAUUCAUUCAAUAAAUAUAUUAUCCCACUAUUUUUUACCAUUUCCGUUGUAGCCUAAGUAAUGUGACCAAAACUAAAAUGUGCACUUUUAUAAAAUCAUGAUCAAGUGGAAGGCAACAUUACAAUAAAAGCAAGGUAGAUAUAGUCAGAUGGUAAAUGCUAUAAAUAUUCUAUAGUUAAUUCACAGAGGAAUAAAACAAUAUCAGGGUCCUGUUUUGUGAUUUUUGCGAUAAAAUGAAAAUUGGGAGGGUCUUGGUGUAAAUAAAAGAGUUAUCCAGGUGACAAACUAAGGGAGCUGUUUCACCGAAAGGCAAUUGUAAGCUUAUUGGUCCUGUAGAUGAUCCAGAUGUGUGAGCCCAUGUGUAGCUAGAAUGACGGCAGGCAAAGCUGGGAACUCAGGACAGAGCUUGAGGAGCUGGGAGAUCUACAUGGAAGUUGAUUGCACACAUUAAGAAGAGGAACCAUAAAACAUUUUAAAAGAGAAAAGACAGUUUCUGAAUUCUGCUAAUACAUUUCACUCUGGCUUUGGUGUGAAAAAUACUGCAGAGUUAGAGAAGACAGCAGCAGAAUGACUGAUCAGGAGAGAAAUGGAAUACUUCUAAGGUGGAAGUUGUCUGUAUUUGGACAACUGCUGCUGAGUAGGUGAAGGAUCUAUGUAGAUGUUGGGAAUAGAGAAAAGAAGAAUUGACAAUCAAGUCAAGACUUGGGGUCUGUACAAUAGAAGGACGUAGUAAUACACGGCAGAGAUGGAGAAGAGAAGGAAGAUAGAAGUUCUGAAAUAUUGACUGAACAGGUAACUACAGUUUAAUCAUUUCAAAAUAUCAAUCCAUAGAUGUAUGUUACACAGAGAUGCACAGGAACAUGCACAAACAUCAUAAGGAAAUGGGAACGAGAUACCUGUUAUCCUCUGUGGAGACACAGUGGUGCAUCAUUUUGAGUGGCUACUAUGAAACAUAUUCCAAAGAAGAGAUGUGGAGAACUCCCAAAGCCAGCAACACAAACUGUCAGUUAUUCAGUCAUUGUAAUGCCUGAUUUGUUCUGGAUCUAUACAGCCAUUGUUUCACAGUUGUAUAUGCUGAUUUCAUGGGACAUCAAGAGCCCUGGUUAGCUUACUUAUCAAGAUAAUUGAUGAACACUUAGAAGAGGGGUUAUUGAUGACUAUGUUCUUUGAACACUAAUUUAGUGUCCCCUGAUCAACAUCUAUGGCAAUGUUUGUUGUCAAAACGACGGUUACAAUAAGAACUAUAAGACAAGAGAAGCAAAUGUUGUGAGGGAGAAGUUUGUGGGAUUGGUCAAGGCCUCAUGAUAUGUUUCUUCCUUGGGUCUUCUCCAGAGGCUCCACAUCUGUAUCCCAUCUGCUUUUAAACCUACUUGUUUGGCUUCCUGUUCCUACUGAGCAACAGAAAAAAGACCUCAGCCCCCAGACUUCUUUACACCCAAUAAUGUUCACAUUAUGUGAACUAUGAAAUAUAUGUGUGCUAAAAUC
Molecule: non-coding RNA, 29163 nt
Organism: Rattus norvegicus (Norway rat)
Lineage: Eukaryota; Metazoa; Chordata; Mammalia; Rodentia; Muridae
Source: RefSeq, a predicted model, not a curated record